GUGGCUCAGUGGUAGAGCACUUGCCUUGCAUGCAUGAGGUCCUGGGUUCAAUUCUUCAGC
RNAcentral lists this transfer RNA (60 nucleotides) under Dipodomys ordii (Ord's kangaroo rat). It matches the Rfam family "tRNA", at positions 7 to 64 of the family's 71-position model. From Rfam's summary of the family: Transfer RNA (tRNA) molecules are approximately 80 nucleotides in length. Their secondary structure includes four short double-helical elements and three loops (D, anti-codon, and T loops). Further hydrogen bonds mediate the characteristic L-shaped molecular structure. tRNAs have two regions of fundamental functional importance: the anti-codon, which is responsible for specific mRNA codon recognition, and the 3' end, to which the tRNAs corresponding amino acid is attached (by aminoacyl-tRNA synthetases). tRNAs cope with the degeneracy of the genetic code in two manners: having more than one tRNA (with a specific anti-codon) for a particular amino acid; and 'wobble' base-pairing, i.e. permitting non-standard base-pairing at the 3rd anti-codon position. The record is from Rfam by way of RNAcentral. Lineage: Eukaryota; Metazoa; Chordata; Mammalia; Rodentia; Heteromyidae.